GGUUUUACUCUCAAAAACAUCAUGGUAUCAAAGUCGUAGGAACCCUACGGCCAACAAAGCUGCUCGUACAGCAGAGAGAAUCUCAGAAUUAACUGAGGCAGAAAGCUCAGUUGUCAGGGGUGCAAUCAAGACAGUCAUGGCACAUAGGGGAGACCUUUCCUCCCACCAUUCCUUUCAGCUCACAUCUCACCGACUGAAUGGAAAAAAUUACCUGGAGGGGGUGCAAUCCGUGAAGCUCGCAAUCGACAACAGGCAAACUCGGACACCUGACUGGAGAAGUGAGAAAACCAGAAACAGGCAACCCGAAUCUGAGAAAUUGGAGAUCAGAGAAUUCACUGGUUAUUGCUUGGCUAAUUAAUUCCAUGGACUCAACAAUAGGUAAACUGUAUCUCUUUCUCCCUACUACAAAAGAUGUUUGGGAUGCUAUUCGUGAAAGCUAUUCUGAUCUUGAAAACUCCUCACAAAUCUUUUAGUUGAAAUCGAAAUUAUGAAAGUCCAAGCAAGGAGAUCGUGAGGUAGCUGUUUAUUACAAUGAGAUGUUUUUCUUCAUGACGGGAAUUGGAUCAGUGUUACAAUGAUGAAUGGGACUGUCCUGCUGAUAGUGUGAGAAUAAUGAAAAAAGAGGAGAGUGAUCGCAUAUACCUAUUCUUACCGGGGCUCAACAAAGUUGUUGAUGAGGUGAGAUCUCGAAUCCUUGGCAAAACACCUUUACCUUCUCUUCCUGAAGCCUUUUCUGAAAUUAGUAGAGAAGAGAGUAGAAUGAAGGUUAUAUUAACCAAACCAAGAGCCAAAAUCGGUAGUGGAUGCUGAACAUUCUGCCCUAGUGUCAAAGGGAAAUGAAUCUGAUGCAUCGGGGAAGAAAAAGCUUUGGUAUGAUCAUUGCAAUAAGUCUUGACAUACGCGAGAGACAUGCUGGAAACUAAAUGGAAAGCCACCAAACAGGAAGAAGAAAAAUAGUGCUGAAAACUAAAUGGAAAGUCACCAAACAGGAAGAAGAAAAAUAGUGCUGACAGUCGUGUCCUCCAAGUGUCUAAUGAAGAAAACAUAGGCCAGCAGAAUACUCAAGAUGCGUCUCCAUUCACUAAGGAACAAAUAGAGCACCUGUACAAACUACUACAAUCCCCAGAACUCCAAGAAAUUCACAAAAUCCUUCCUGCUCCUUGGCUCAAAAAAGUAACUUUAUCUCUGCACUUCUACUGAAUAAAAAAAAAUUAAUAAUUGCACUGUGAUUGCAGAUUCUCCCCUUGCCUAAAUUUUAGUUUCAUAUGAAUUCAAAGACAUAAACCUCGUGAAUUGAACACGAAUCUGAUUGGUAAAUCUCCUGAAAGCAAAGUUGAUACACACACACACACAUAUCAUAAGCUUUGAAAUAACCAGAGUAUAAAAUUUUAAUAACAAUCUUUAAAAACCUUUGAUCUCUUGUAAUUGAAAAAAUCUGAGAUCAGUUGUUUAAACUUAGAAGCAUGUUAUUUUCUCCCAGUUCAUUUGGCGCACUUCUAUUGGCCAAAAGUUUUUUGGAGACAUUAUCCAAACGAUCUGCCAACAGACCAAGCUUCAUACAAUGUUGAUCUCAAUUUUCUUGGUAAGUUUUGAGAAAAAAUUCAAAUAUCAAACGUAAAUCACCCAUAACUUCUGGUUCUUAUAUCAAAUUGUUAAGGUCUUUGUUAGGGUCUAGUUAUGAGACUUUAUUGACAGUAUGAGCUUGUCAAGAGAGAACCAAUGACCUCAUAAAGUUUAAAGUACUCAGGAAACUUCUUUGACAAAAUUUUCUGCAUAUCCGGUUUAGAUUACAAGGCUCUUUUUACACCAAAAAAAGAAAUAUUUAACUACCCUAGUUGGAAGUAACUAUCCUCACAUCCUAGAUACCACUUAAGUACCUAUAGAUCCCAUAAACUAUCAACACUUACCCCAAAUAUCCUAGAAACUACCUUCAUACUUAUUCCACUCUAGCAGCCAUGUGUCACCCAAGCUAUGUGUCACACAAUAGGGUAGCCAUGUGUUAUCCAAGUUGAUGUGGAACCUAGAAUCAAUAAUGCAAUCCAAAACUCAUAUAAUUUCAAUUAACACUAAAGACUUAAUUCUCAAAUAAACCCUCCCUACUCAACUCACAAUCAACUAUGAUUGAAAGAAAGGUAAUAGGAAUUUAUCUCUGCACUUCUAAGCAUUAAUCCUAGUCAAACUAGCACCUGGAUCAUAGAUUCGAGAGUUACUGAUCAUAUGACAGGCUGCUCCAAAUUGCUUUCCACUUACACUCCUUGUGCAGGAAACAAAAAGGUUAAGAUUGUUGAUGGCUCCCUCUCAGCAAUUGCUAGGACUGAAGCAGUUAAAAUUUCUCCAUCCAUAACUCUUCAUGAUGUUCUCCAUGUCCCUAAAUUAUCCUGUAAUCUUGUGUCCAUUAGUAAAAUUACUAACAACCUUAAUGUCGUGCUAUAUUUGACCCUUCUCGAUGUGAGUUUCAGGACCCUUCUCGAUGUGAGUUUCAGGAUAUAAUCUCGGAGAGGACGAUUGGCAUUGCUAGGAAAAGUGGAGGUCUCUAUUUCCUCGAAAAUGUGACUAACUCGGACCGACAAAAAGCGCCGAGUACUUGCUUUAAAUCUGUUUUUUAUUCAAAUAAUAUUAUGCUUUAGCAUUAUAGAUUAGGACAUCCAAGUUUUCAUUAUUUAAAACAAUUGUUUCCAGACUUAUAUAAAAAUAAGAGUGCAUCUUUAUUUGAAUGCAAAUUUUGCGAAUAGGCUAAGCAUCACCGUUCUUUUUUCCCGAAGCCAUAUCAUGCAUCCAAACCAUUUAUUUUAAUUCAUAUUGACGUAUGGAAGCCAUCUCAAGUCCCUACAAUGUCUGGAAAAAAAUGGUUUAUUAGUUUUAUCGGUGAUCACACACGGGUUAAUUAGGUAUAUCUGUUAGAAGACAAAUAUGAAGUAAAAGAGAUUUUUAAAGUUUUUUAUACCAUGGAGGAAACACAAUUUCAAGAAAAAAUCCAAGUGUUCUAGAAUGAUAAUGGUAAAGAAUAUUUUAAUAAAAUCUUAGGAAAUCCUUUCUUAGAAAAAAAUAUAGAACACCAAAGCUCUUGCCCCGAUACACCCCAACAAAAUGGCAUUGCUGAACAGAAAAACAAACAUUUUCGGAAGUAACUAGGGCACUAUUAUUCACAAAUCAGGUCCCAAGUAUCUUCGGGGUAAGUUAUUUUAACUGCUGCAUAUAUUAUAAAUUGAAUGUGUAGCAAGAUUUUGAACUUUCAGACUCGUUUAAGUGGUGUCCAGAACAAUUUUUUCCUACUUCUCGAUUGAUUUCUGACUUAUCAUAGAAAGUUUUCAGGUGGAGUGCCUUUGUUCAUGUUCAUGACCAAACUCAAGGAAAAUUAGAGCAUCGGGCUAGGAAGUGUAUUUUUGUAGGUUAUACACCAACCCAAAAAGGAUACAAAUGUGAUGAUCCUAAUGCAAAAAAAAAAAAAAAAUUACUUCAAUGGAUUUUACCUUGUUUGAGAACCAACCAUUUUUUAACACUCAUCUUCAGGGGGGAGAAGGAAAAUGAAGAUUCAGAGGUGUUUGGUAGCUCUCAACCCAUAAAUAAUCUUGAUCAAUCGGAAAACACAAAAUUUAUGAUAAACACUAAAUUAUGUGAACCUAUGGAGCCUUCUCAUAAUAUUACUGGAAAUGAAAACGGACAAAAAGCAGGUACAAAAGAACUUCUUGUCUAUUCCAGGAGGAAACUGAAUCAAGGAAAUGAGACUGAGACCUCUCAACACUGUCAAGAGUCUGAGCCUCAGACAAUUCAGAACUUCAUCGAAAUACCAGGUCCCUGAGUAGGAGGCAAACCUUGAAGAAAUGAGGGCCCUUGAGUAAAAUGGCACAUAGGAGGUAAUGGAACUGCCAAAGGAAAAGAAAACAGUUGGCUGUAAAUGGGUGUUCACAACAAAAUACAGAUCAGAUGGAUCUCUUGAUAGAUAUAAGGCAUUGAUUACCUUGAAACCUUUGCACCUGUGGCAAAACUAAAUACAAUCAGAGUGCUACAAACAAUUACAGCCAACCUAGACUGACCCCUAUAACAGCUAGAUCUUAAGAAUGCAUUUCUCAACGGUGACUUAAAAGAAGAAGUUUAUAUGAACCCACCCCCAAGCUUUGAAAAGAAGUAUGGAUCAAAAGUAUUUAAACUUAAAAAAUCUCUAUACAAGCUGAAACAAUCACCAAGCGCUUGCUUUGAGAGAUUCACUCAGCUUGUGAAGAAACAAGGAUAUACCUAAGGCCAGGCAGAUCAUACCAUGUUCACAAGGCAUUCAGCUGACGGAAAGAUAGCUGUCCUCAUAGUAUAUGUUGAUAAUAUCAUUCUCACUGGGGAUGACAUAAUUGAAAUGAAGCAAUUGAAGAAACACCAAACUUCUGAGUUUGAAAUUAAAGACCUGGGCUCAUUAAAAUACUUUUUUGAUAUGGAAGUAGCCCGAUCAAGGAAGAGCGUUGUUGUGUCACAAAGGAAAUACAUGAUGGACCUACUUAAAGAGACAGGUAUGAGUGGUUGUCGUCCUGUUGAAACACCAUUUGAUCCAAAUCAAAACUUGAAAACGAUAAGGGAGGGUCAAUAGACACAUCACGGUACCAGAAACUUGUUGGGAAGUUGAUCUAUUUGUCACACACACGACCAGAUAUUACUUUUGCCGUGAGCCUAGUAAGCCAGUUCAUGCAUUCUCCUCAUGAAGAACACCUUGAAGCAGUCUAUCGUAUCUUUAGGUACCUAAAGAGCUCUCCGGAAAAGGGGCUAUUUUUCUGGAAAAAUGAGCAACGAAAAA
Long non-coding RNA from Carica papaya (papaya), 4777 nucleotides. RefSeq lists it as uncharacterized. The record is from RefSeq and is a predicted model, not a curated record. Lineage: Eukaryota; Viridiplantae; Streptophyta; Magnoliopsida; Brassicales; Caricaceae.